CAGUCGCGUCGUCACGAUUUGAAUUGCUCGCAUCCUUUUUGGGUGGCUUUGACGGACGACGAUGAUAAAGAAGGAGAAGAUAUAAACCAAAAACGAUUUUAUUAUCUAGGAUAUGAACCGGAAUCAAUUAAAGCAGAUCACUAACCGGGUGUGCCGGUUACAACAUCGCGUGAUUUAAUUCAUAACUGAGCCGCUUUAACAUUAUUAUUACCCAAAACGACUCGGAGUAACAAUGCUAUAAUUGGUUAACUAAACCGGAAUCAGUGCUCUUUCUAACGUUUACCUGCUUUUUAUUACCUUAGACGAUCAUUAUCUGUGAAACUCUUUUGUGAUUGAACCAAUCGCGGGUCGCCACAUGUCGAUGGAACCCGCAAAUAUUACAAAACUGACCCAAGACCGAUUCUUAGUUUGCGAUUUUGGUGACCGUUUUUUUUAGAAAAAGUGAGGCUCUACACAUUAAUUUCCUGCAGAAACCGGUUUUAGAAACUGCUAUAAUCAUGCUCUUAGAAGUUCAAAUUAAAACUAGCAAACUCUUUUGAUAAAAAAAGAAAAAAAAAAGAAAACUAGCAAACUCUAAUGAAAAACGCAAAAAAAAAAUUGUCAUAUGAUAAAAGGUGAAAUUCAUAAGUG
Molecule: long non-coding RNA, 630 nt
Organism: Brassica rapa (field mustard)
Lineage: Eukaryota; Viridiplantae; Streptophyta; Magnoliopsida; Brassicales; Brassicaceae
Source: RefSeq, a predicted model, not a curated record